GACGAACGCUGGCGGCGUGCUUAACACAUGCAAGUCGAACGGAAAGGCCCUGCUUUUGUGGGGUGCUCGAGUGGCGAACGGGUGAGUAACACGUGAGUAACCUGCCCUUGACUUUGGGAUAACUUCAGGAAACUGGGGCUAAUACCGGAUAGGAUCUCCUGCUGCAUGGUGGGGGUUGGAAAGUUUCGGCGGUUGGGGAUGGACUCGCGGCUUAUCCGCUUGUUGGUGGGGUAGUGGCUUACCAAGGCUUUGACGGGUAGCCGGCCUGAGAGGGUGACCGGCCACAUUGGGACUGAGAGACGGCCCAGAAUCCUACGGGAGGCAGCAGUGGGGAAUAUUGCACAAUGGGCGGAAGCCUGAUGCAGCAACGCCGCGUGCGGGAUGACGGCCUUCGGGUUGUAAACCGCUUUCGCCUGUGACGAAGCGUGAGUGACGGUAAUGGGUAAAGAAGCAACGGCUAACUACGUG
This 468-nucleotide ribosomal RNA is filed under the name uncultured bacterium. RNAcentral describes it as "partial 16S ribosomal RNA". It matches the Rfam family "Bacterial small subunit ribosomal RNA", at positions 28 to 507 of the family's 1533-position model. The record is from RNAcentral.